AAGACUAUAUGUAACAACAAUUAGUGUGGACAUCACCGCGCAGGGUGUAUUAUAAGAGAUCUCUACUCGUACCCAAGCAGAAUCUCGAACGCAUUGGGCAGAACGUGCCUGUUCUGUCGGAUAACCAAUGCACUUGUAAAUAGUUUAUAAAUAUAUGGUUUAUCGUUUAACUGGCUAACACCACAACCUGGCUAGCAAGAACCCUUACCCCACAUCCCGAAAAACGAAAUGUAGAAAAGAAGAGCCCCCGUUUUGAUUUUGUGCAAGUAUGUUGGCAUUUAUUUAGAGAAUUACGUAUGUUUAAAAGGCAACCAGACUGGGAUUAAUGGUCUCGAUUGAACACUUAGUUUGCUUAGCGGGUUGCAUUCAAUAUGCACGGAAAGCGAUCCCCAAAAUUAUUGUAUAACGAAUCCGAGGUAGUCGCAGAUAAAGGUAAAGAAACCGAAAGAAGUAUUAAAGCUCAAAGAAUAACCGAUACUGUCAUUAAAAUAUACAACUUCCGAAUCUUACAACUCGAGAUAACUGGCACAGUUGGCCAGGACGUUUUUACAAACUAAGCUGAAUUCUAAUCGCAAAUGGACACAAGGAGAUCAACCAAAACAAGGGAUGUACAUAAGUAGUCGACAAUAUACUUACAAAAAACCAAAUCGAAACUUCUAACGCAGCUGUCAUCUAAACAAUUUCACCUACCACUAGCCAUUGUCCACUUGAAGGUCAGCAUGUGCCCCAAGAUCCCCCCGACAUCGUGGGGUGGGGAUCAUCCAGAGACUCCGACAUCAUCAAGAGCCGAAACCAAUGCUAAACGGAAAUAUUCUGAGACAUUAAGGACAAUACAGUGAAGUCUUUUGCUUUUGAUACAACUAAAUUGAGAACGUGACGUGGCAUGCAUUUUAACCUACAGAAGUGUCCGGAUACAAUUUUCUACAAUCAACCAAAUGGAAUUCUACACAAAAUUAAACGACGUAUAGAUACAUAAACAGAGUUGAAACAUUUUGCUACAAAAUCGAAUGAUAACGAUCAUAUAUAUUGACGACAAUGUGUGAGGAAACAUGAUAGUAACUUGAGAAACCAAACUAAAAUGCUUCAAAAUGAUUGUAGUACUUCCCGCCGUUAAUAUUUUUUAAUAUAUCGUACAUACUACAGAUACAGAUGCAAGUCUUAAUAAUAAUACUUAUACUAAGAGGCAAUAAGUAAGAUCUUUCCGCUGCUAAAAUUGUCUUUCAAAAUACUUCCAUAGGCCCGGUAUGUUUGCCUUUUGUGGCUCCUCAAUUUUUGUUUCCCAGAUAAUAGCCGAAAAAUCGAUCUACUUGCUCCCUUGCUAAGACAAAAGGAAAGUAAAGUUAAGUGCGAAAUUGAACACUAAUCGGAGUGGAGGUGUUAGGUAUACGUUCAGCCCGAUCAAUGCGAUUAAGUCAAAUUAAAUUAGUUUUGUACUUAGCAGUAACUAUCUUCUAGGCAUAUUUUACGCUGAGAGUAUCUAUUCGUUUAGCCCUUUUGCCCUUCUUUGAUUUGUAAAACUACACGCGUCUUAUACUAUAUCAUAAAUUAUAGGAAAAUGGUAUUAUGAUAAAUUGAAUUUUUAACCAAAAUUGUAAGCAAAUUGUAUUAGGCGUCAAAUUUUAGAAGAGAGUGUAAACCCAGAGGCCACGAGCUGAGGGCGACACAUUGAAUAGAUAUAUGUUAUGUGUAUGGGCUGAAACCACAUUCACACACGGCAACAAAUUAAUCUUAAUUACUUAAAACGAUGAUAAUAAAUGAUACUAAAUAAUAACUGAAUAACCACAAAGCUAAUUUAUGCAAUACAGGAAUAUUGAAUACUGAAAAUUAUGCGUCAAUAAAACGUUUAGGCAAGAUUGUAUUGUAAUAUCUAAUCGUAAUUGUACUCGUAAUCGCAUGCCUACUCCCCACUGGUGAAAAUCGGUUAGACCCUGUCGUAUAUGAGUGUAGUUAAAAUAUACAUAUUUACCUAACACAAGUCGAUAGGAAUGGGAACAGGACCGGACGAAAGUCGAUCGGGAUUGGAGAUCCGUAUAGUUUGCAGGCCCUGACGGUCCGCGAUUUGUUGUAAGCGAUUAUAGGCGGGUGUGGGUGGUGGGGAGAGCUUUCGUUUCCCAGUGUAAGUGUUACAAUGUGUUAGGAUUGAUUUUUUACCUUCUACAGUCUCUAAAUCUCGAAAAGACUUCGCCGCAAUUAGUCUAACUCAACUUAUUAUAUGUAAAUGUACGGUACAUGUGUGUAUGUACCUAAAUAACAGCGACAGAAUAUUCCGAAAGCCACUUUAAAGUCUCCUGCUUUGCCCACGCAACCAUUCAUAGAGCAAACUUCAUACCAACAUCUCUGUAAAGCAAACUGCUAUCACACCGUUAAGUUACCCGAAAAUUCAUAUAUCAUUAUCAGGUGUAAAUGAAUACUUUUUGUGUGGAGUCACCCAAGGGUUCGAACUAUGGGCUAAGAGCUAUUUAGCUAUAGAUUGACUAGGUAUACAUCCGAAAAAGAGCGACGGAGAGUAAAUCGUAGUGCAAAUUGUAGACGAAAUAUUGCCAUAGAACGGAGGCGUUACUCCUCUAGGGAGUGUACAGCCAUAAUUCUCCCGAUUAAGUUGUCGCACGCAUUCCAAGAGCAGAAAGUCAGAACUUUUUAGAAUUAUUGCCUUUGGUUGAAAAUAAAAGGAAAUAAGAGUACGCACGCCUACCAGCAACAAAAAUAAUGAUGACAACAUACUAACCCGAAUCGGAUGGACAAUCCUGAGGGAUCGCGUAAAGUAAUGCUUAGCUUUGUGUUAAAUUGCUGUUGAAUAUAAAUGUACUUGUACAAUGAUAAUAAUUACGAUGGCAUUAAACACACUGACACAACAGAUCAUUAACAAGCCCCACAAACAAUAACAGUUCAGAAAACAGAACCCAAAUCCGAAAGAAACUAAUUAUAAUAAAAUAAAGAAUAUAAAACGUUA
Molecule: long non-coding RNA, 2950 nt
Organism: Drosophila biarmipes
Lineage: Eukaryota; Metazoa; Arthropoda; Insecta; Diptera; Drosophilidae
Exons: 2
Source: RefSeq, a predicted model, not a curated record